This 400-nucleotide ribosomal RNA is filed under the name uncultured Tepidimicrobium sp. RNAcentral's name for it is "bacterial SSU rRNA". It matches the Rfam family "Bacterial small subunit ribosomal RNA", at positions 356 to 774 of the family's 1533-position model. Lineage: Bacteria; Bacillati; Bacillota; Tissierellia; Tissierellales; Tepidimicrobiaceae. The record is from RNAcentral.
GGGGAAUAUUGCACAAUGGAGGAAACUCUGAUGCAGCGACGCCGCGUGAGCGAUGAAGGCCUUCGGGUCGUAAAGCUCUGUCCUAUGGGACGAUAAUGACGGUACCAUAGGAGGAAGCCCCGGCUAACUACGUGCCAGCAGCCGCGGUAACACGUAGGGGGCGAGCGUUGUCCGGAAUUACUGGGCGUAAAGGGUACGUAGGCGGUCAUGUAAGUCAGAUGUGAAAGGCAUGGGCUUAACCCAUGUAAGCAUUUGAAACUACGUGACUUGAGUUAAGGAGAGGAAAGUGGAAUUCCUGGUGUAGCGGUGAAAUGCGUAGAUAUCAGGAGGAAUACCAGUGGCGAAGGCGACUUUCUGGCCUUAAACUGACGCUGAGGUACGAAAGCGUGGGGAGCAAACA